UAGGGAAUCUUCCACAAUGGACGAAAGUCUGAUGGAGCAACGCCGCGUGAGUGAAGAAGGGUUUCGGCUCGUAAAACUCUGUUGUUGAAGAAGAACAUAUCUGAGAGUAACUGUUCAGGUAUUGACGGUAUUUAACCAGAAAGCCACGGCUAAAUACGUGCUAG
RNAcentral lists this ribosomal RNA (164 nucleotides) under uncultured bacterium. Its description in RNAcentral is "partial 16S rRNA". It matches the Rfam family "Bacterial small subunit ribosomal RNA", at positions 355 to 511 of the family's 1533-position model. The record is from RNAcentral.